This 497-nucleotide ribosomal RNA is filed under the name uncultured bacterium. Its description in RNAcentral is "partial 16S ribosomal RNA". It matches the Rfam family "Bacterial small subunit ribosomal RNA", at positions 28 to 507 of the family's 1533-position model. The record is from RNAcentral.
GAUGAACGCUGGCGGCGUGCCUAAUACGUGCAAGUCGAGCGAACAGAUGAGGAGCUUGCUCCUCUGACGUUAGCGGCGGACGGGUGAGUAACACGUGGAUAACCUACCUAUAAGACUGGGAUAACUUCGGGAAACCGGAGCUAAUACCGGAUAAUAUAUUGAACCGCAUGGUUCAAUAGUGAAAGACGGUUUUGCUGUCACUUAUAGAUGGAUCCGCGCCGCAUUAGCUAGUUGGUAAGGUAACGGCUUACCAAGGCAACGAUGCGUAGCCGACCUGAGUGGGUGAUCGGCCACACUGGAACUGAGACACGGUCCAGACUCCUACGGGAGGCAGCAGUAGGGAAUCUUCCGCAAUGGGCGAAAGCCUGACGGAGCAACGCCGCGUGAGUGAUGAAGGUCUUCGGAUCGUAAAACUCUGUUAUUAGGGAAGAACAAAUGUGUAAGUAACUAUGCACGUCUUGACGGUACCUAAUCAGAAAGCCACGGCUAACUACGUG